This 73-nucleotide microRNA precursor is filed under the name Megaselia scalaris. RNAcentral describes it as "mir-278 microRNA precursor family". It matches the Rfam family "mir-278 microRNA precursor family". The record is from Rfam by way of RNAcentral. Lineage: Eukaryota; Metazoa; Arthropoda; Insecta; Diptera; Phoridae.
GGUGCACCCGGAUGAUGGUCUUCCAACGACCGUUUUAUUAUACAGGUCGGUGGGACUUUCGUCCGUUUGCAAC